CCGUAACUAUAACGGUCCUAAGGUAGCGAAAUUCCUUGUCGGGUAAGUUCCGACCUGCACGAAUGGCGUAAUGAUGGCCAGGCUGUCUCCACCCGAGACUCAGUGAAAUUGAACUCGCUGUGAAGAUGCAGUGUACCCGCGGCAAGACGGAAAGACCCCGUGAACCUUUACUAUAGCUUGACACUGAACACUGGUCCUUGAUGUGUAGGAUAGGUGGGAGGCUUUGAAGUGUGGACGCCAGUCUGCAUGGAGCCAUCCUUGAAAUACCACCCUUUAAUGGCUGGUGUUCUAACGUGGGCCCGUAAUCCGGGUUGCGGACAGUGUCUGGUGGGUAGUUUGACUGGGGCGGUCUCCUCCUAAAGAGUAACGGAGGAGCACGAAGGUCAGCUAAUCCUGGUCGGACAUCAGGAGGUUAGUGCAAUGGCAUAAGCUGGCUUGACUGCGAGCGUGACGGCGCGAGCAGGUGCGAAAGCAGGUCAUAGUGAUCCGGUGGUUCUGAAUGGAAGGGCCAUCGCUCAACGGAUAAAAGGUACUCCGGGGAUAACAGGCUGAUACCGCCCAAGAGUUCAUAUCGACGGCGGUGUUUGGCACCUCGAUGUCGGCUCAUCACAUCCUGGGGCUGAAGUAGGUCCCAAGGGUAUGGCUGUUCGCCAUUUAAAGUGGUACGCGAGCUGGGUUUAGAACGUCGUGAGACAGUUCGGUCCCUAUCUGCCGUGGGCGCUGGAGAAUUGAGGGGGGCUGCUCCUAGUACGAGAGGACCGGAGUGGACGCAUCACUGGUGUUCGGGUUGUCAUGCCAAUGGCAUUGCCCGGUAGCUAAAUGCGGAAGAGAUAAGUGCUGAAAGCAUCUAAGUACGAAACUUGCCCCGAGAUGAGUUCUCCCUGACUCCUUGAGAGUCCUGAAGGAACGUUGAAGACGACGACGUUGAUAGGCCGGGUGUGUAAGCGCAGCGAUGCGUUGAGCUAACCGGUACUAAUGAACCGUGAGGCUUAACCUU
Molecule: ribosomal RNA, 997 nt
Filed under: human gut metagenome
Description: bacterial LSU rRNA
Rfam family: Bacterial large subunit ribosomal RNA
Source: RNAcentral